GAAUGAGCAAUGCCAUUGAUAUCAUCCACGUUCUGUUCCUGUGGGGAAAAUAAGUGAAGUAAAAUUGUUACCGGACCAUUAUUUGCGAGCUGCGCCUUUUUUAUUUCCCAAAGUAGCUUUCCUUUUGAGCAAAGAGCCAGCUCUCAACACAAUCAGCCCCAUUCAAUUGAUGUAGAUAAAGAGCAAGAAACAUUCACGCUUUGAAAGGGAAGUAUAUUUGGCUGCGGUACUGCAAUAAUGGUAAACGAUUCAACAAUCUUUAGAAAACAGCCCUGGUGUCUCAGGUGCAGAGGGGCAAAUGUUGGCUUGGAUGAUACACACUAGGGCUGUCAGAAAAAAUAUUUGAAGUUGGAAAACUAUUCGAAAAUCUUUCUUUUUUUAAGGUUCGAACCAAAAUUUGAGCAUUCGAAUAUUAGUUUUGGAUCCCGCGUAUUGUAAUUAACAUGCAGGAUUUAAUUUCAUGCGGCGAAUCAUGUGCAUGCACGCAAAGUUAACAUGCAGGCUUUAAUUUCAUGGGGCGAAUCAUGUUCAUGCACGCAAAGUUCAUUUCCUGUGCUAACGUUACUUCCUCUGUCAACAAAAAACGUUCUUCCCUGGACCCAGGGCAAGUGGAUCGUCUGGUUUUCCUUGCCAAUAACCUCCAGUGAUACUUUCAGCUCUAUUGACACCUAACGUUACUGGUCAGCUAGCCUCGCGAGCCAGUCUCUUUUUCCACUUCGUUCAACAGAUCUGGUCAGCUAACAAUUUAGGCUAAAUAAUGUUCCCAUGGCAGGCUAUGUUUCCUUUCUUUUCUGAAGAUUUUGAUAAAAUUGGAUGAUGAAAGAAGUUAAACAAACUAAACAGAAUACCAUUCUGCUUGGCCUGAUCUCUGGCAGAGGAGCUAGAGGACGGGAGCAGGUCUGCAAUUCAUCAGAAAAGCCAGUCCAGGAUAGGCCCGGUGCAUCCAAACACCUUCUCCUUUAUUUUAUGGCAUAACAGAACAUCACUCGAUGCCCGUAAAACCAUCGAAUAAUACACAAGCCUGAAAAUGUGACAACCAGAAUUUGGCUCUUGUCGCACACUUGUCUCCAUUAUCUUUGCUGUGGGGAGUUUGAGUGGAAGAGUAACAGUCAUUUAUCAGUGCAGUGCUCAUGUUCUAAGUCCUGCAGGACAGGGGGUGACAAGGGUGCAACUUCCCCCCUUGACAGAAGUCAAGCAGAUCCUUAGGGCCUGAGCUCUCCUGUCAGAGACAGGAAGUGACUGAUGAGCGGAUGUGUGCUCCCUCAGACACACAGAGUCACUUCAUAACACCCUAUUGACCCCUCUUUAGAGUUGAUUAAAACUGACUGCCCAGAAAACAACGAGCAGUUAGCGGGGGGUUUUUUUAAGCGUCGCGACGGAAACAUCGACAGACGAGCGCUGUGUCCUCGGUGAGGGCCUGAUGACCGCGCACACUACACUCAGGCCGGGUUUUGAAAUCCUAGGGUCAAAAUGUGAAAAUUCCACUGGGUUCACAGUUGCCUUUCGCAAGCCCUCGGGGCGCCGCGCGCACGCAGGCGUUGAGUUUCAGGGCUCCCCCGGGGCGAGCGGGGAUUCCUCGCCUUCCCCACUACCCAAGCCGCUGGGGAGGAGGAGACCCCGGAGUUCAGAGAGAGAGCGGCAGAGGGUUGAUCACUCGCCCCAAAGCCUCAGUAGUGAACUGAUGAACUCUCUAUGGGAACCUGGGAGUGGAGGCUGUGAUUAAAGAGAGGGCGGGGAGGGAGGACCAGUGGCACUUUGGGAGUACGUCUUAAAAGCCGAGCUGCAAAGGUCUCUCUCAGUUUGGCCUUCUGGCUUGAGUUUAGACUAAACUGUCACAUGCCUGCACUUUAUUAAGAGUGAACGAGGAACAUCAAAGUCUAAAGCUCAACUCCCAUUAAAUAGGGGCCUUUAGAUUCCUCAGGAACUCAACUGCUAUUGAAAUACAUGGGUUUUUUUUAGCCCGUGCUUUUUCCCUCACUCUCUCUUUCCCACCUCUCGCUCUCUUUUCACAGCUGUGAAACACGGUCACCAAAAGUCAUUUGAAAGUUUGGCUCCUUUGAAAACUUAGCUUUGCUGCCAGCCACCAGUGCUUCAGCACACUGCAGAGAAGAAGACACCUGUUCUCUUCCUUCAUUGGUUAACAAACCUUGAUGACAGAGCAAAGGCAGCCAAAGAGGCCUGACCAAGGCAGCGGCUUAAUGAGACGUAGUCAUGUUCUGUUUAAACUUAACCAGGAGGUGAACCUUGAAGACAAAAAUACAGCUUCCAUCAGGGGAGCUUUGACAGGCUUUAAAGUGAAAUUGCAAGCCCAGAGGGAAAGACAAGGGGAGAACUUCCCAUCACUUUGAUAGCAGGCAAAGCAUUAGGCAAACAUUACACACCUCCAUCCAGGAAGAGGAGAGACCCGACCCCAACAAAUCACUCCAAGGACACUCACGGCUAGACAUCCAUCUGCUUUCAAUUUCCUUACGCUUAAAUACAGGUAAGACGAUGCUGAUGAAAUAAGCCCUGUAGCGAAAUAACAGACCGCAGACGAUCCACAAAUCCCAUGCACACCGACAGGAGACAAUUGACAAGCAAUAAUAUUGUUCGCAUUGAAUAACGAGGAGGAUGCUGAGAGAAAAAAAAUCACAGUCCUAUAAGGUAAACUGAUCAAAACUGAUCAGGACUCAAUGAGAAGUGUCCCACGGACAUGCAGGUGUGCUGACGUCAAUGCGCAGGGUGUGCCGGGACCGCCUCGGGGGGGGAUUAGCACGCUGCGAAAGCCGCAUUAAUGCAGCGGAAUGAGGCGGGCACACUACGCUCCGAUAGGCACUCUUAGCGCUCCGGAAUGCGCCAGGAGAAAAGAGUCUAUCAGCAGAAUUGAGUGCGAUAGCAUCAGGCCGGGAGUGAGUCCUCGUCUGGGCUCAGCGGGGAGAGCCGUCCUUUAGAAGGGCAGGAGGAGGGCGCUCCGGCCCUCGGACCCCGAGCGUUUAUCACGCGCCGCGAGCCCGGCUCAGGGCUCGCAUCAGCACACAGAGGCGCAGUCCCCUGUCUUCCAGACUAAGUCUGGUUUCAUGCAAAGGUUGCUCUCGUUAUAUUGUCCCCAGGAUGAAAUACAUUAUGGAAAAUUUUGUUUCGUAAUCAGCAAUGAUGAAUAUAGUUGUUGUAUGUCGUCUUUGCAUUUGCAAGGAUCCCAAUGUGACCACAAGCUCAUAAUGAUACAUGAUAUUCUUGAGUGCCAUUUGUAGAAAAAAAAAAUCUGGCAUAUGCUUGCCCAGCGGCAUUUAGUGAGCACAUCUUUGUACUCUGCACUGUAAUUGAAAAUGACAAAAAAAGAACUAUUCUGUAAAUGUCAACAGCAAGAAAUGACUGAAUAAAAUGUAGAGGAAGGCUUUCCAGAGCUGAAAUAAACUGCAUGCUUCGAAUACAGUUUUUUUUAAAAUAAAUGCCUUGACAGAAUGAAGUCUGAGAAAUAAAGCUUCCUGAAAAGA
Long non-coding RNA from Anguilla rostrata (American eel), 3473 nucleotides. RefSeq lists it as uncharacterized. Lineage: Eukaryota; Metazoa; Chordata; Actinopteri; Anguilliformes; Anguillidae. The record is from RefSeq and is a predicted model, not a curated record. The transcript has 2 exons.